This 659-nucleotide ribosomal RNA is filed under the name uncultured organism. Its description in RNAcentral is "bacterial SSU rRNA". It matches the Rfam family "Bacterial small subunit ribosomal RNA", at positions 1 to 663 of the family's 1533-position model. The record is from RNAcentral.
GGCUUAGAGUUUGAUCAUGGCUCAGGAUGAACGCUGGCGGCGUGCUUAACACAUGCAAGUCGAGCGAAGCACUUUUGUUGAUUUCUUCGGAUUGAAGCAACUGUGACUGAGCGGCGGACGGGUGAGUAACGCGUGGGGAACCUGGCCCAUACAGGGGGAUAACAGUUAGAAAUGACUGCUAAUACCGCAUAAGCGCACGAAACCGCAUGGUUUUGUGUGAAAAACUCCGGUGGUAUGGGAUGGCCCCGCGUCUGAUUAGGUAGUUGGUGAGGUAACGGCCCACCAAGCCGACGAUCAGUAGCCGACCUGAGAGGGUGACCGGCCACAUUGGGACUGAGACACGGCCCAAACUCCUACGGGAGGCAGCAGUGGGGAAUAUUGCACAAUGGGGGAAACCCUGAUGCAGCGACGCCGCGUGAAGGAAGAAGUAUUUCGGUAUGUAAACUUCUAUCAGCAGGGAAGAAGAUGACGGUACCUGACUAAGAAGCCCCGGCUAACUACGUGCCAGCAGCCGCGGUAAUACGUAGGGGGCAAGCGUUAUCCGGAUUUACUGGGUGUAAAGGGAGCGUAGACGGAGCAGCAAGUCUGAUGUGAAAGACCGGGGCUUAACCCCGGGCUGCAUUGGAAACUGUUGAUCUUGAGUGCCGGAGGGGUAAGCG